Molecule: ribosomal RNA, 245 nt
Filed under: uncultured bacterium
Lineage: Bacteria
Description: partial small subunit ribosomal RNA
Rfam family: Bacterial small subunit ribosomal RNA
Source: RNAcentral
AGAAUCAACGCUGGCGGCGUGCCUAACACAUGCAAGUCGAACGAGAAAGGGGAGCAAUCCCUGAGUACAGUGGCGACCGGGUGAGUAACACGUGACUAACCUACCCUCGAGUGUGGAAUAACAUCGGGAAACCGAUGCUAAUACCGCAUAACAUCGCAAGAUCAAAGGAGUAAUCCGCUUGAGGAGGGGGUCGCGGCUGAUUAGCUAGUUGGCGGGGUAAUGGCCCACCAAGGCGAAGAUCGGUA